UACAGAGGGGGCAAGCGUUGUUCGGAAUUACUGGGCGUAAAGGGCGCGUAGGCGGCCUUCUAAGUCGAACGUGAAAUCCCUGGGCUCAACCGGGGAACUGCGUCUGAUACUGGCGGGCUUGAAUUCGGGAGAGGGAUGUGGAAUUCCAGGUGUAGCGGUGAAAUGCGUAGAUAUCUGGAGGAACACCGGUGGCGAAGGCGGCAUCCUGGACCGACAUUGACGCUGAGGCGCGAAAGCCAGGGGAGCAAACGGG
RNAcentral lists this ribosomal RNA (253 nucleotides) under uncultured bacterium. RNAcentral's name for it is "partial 16S ribosomal RNA". It matches the Rfam family "Bacterial small subunit ribosomal RNA", at positions 524 to 776 of the family's 1533-position model. The record is from RNAcentral.